Molecule: ribosomal RNA, 392 nt
Filed under: uncultured bacterium
Lineage: Bacteria
Description: bacterial SSU rRNA
Rfam family: Bacterial small subunit ribosomal RNA
Source: RNAcentral
UAACAUCCGGAAACGGGUGCUAUACCGCAUAGUUUUCUUGAUCGCAUGAUCGGGAAAGGAAGACGGCCUUUGUGCUGUCGCUUAUGGAUGGACCCGCGGCGUAUUAGUUAGUUGGUGAGGUAACGGCUCACCAAGACGAUGAUACGUAGCCGACCUGAGAGGGUGAUCGGCCACAUUGGGACCUGAGACACGGCCCAAACUCCUACGGGAGGCAGCAGUAGGGAAUCUUCCGCAAUGGACGAAAGUCUGACGGAGCAACGCCGCGUGAGUGAAGAAGGUUUUCGGGAAUCGUAAAACUCUGUUGUCAGAGAAGAACAAGUUGGAGAGUAACUGCUCCAGCCUUGACGGUUAUCUGACCAGAAAGCCACGGCUAACUACGUGCCAGCAGCAGC